RNAcentral lists this unclassified non-coding RNA (170 nucleotides) under Thermobispora bispora. RNAcentral's name for it is "16S-23S ribosomal RNA intergenic spacer". The record is from RNAcentral. Lineage: Bacteria; Bacillati; Actinomycetota; Actinomycetes; Streptosporangiales; Streptosporangiaceae.
AAGGAUGAUUCAUUCCAUCACCUCGGUGAUGGAACACACUUCAAACCACAGACGAGGUCCGGGGAUGCCGUUGGCGUUCCCGGCCGUGGGCACGCUGUUGGGUUCUGAGGGUGCGGGUAACCCGCCCUCAGAAGCUUGAGAACUGCAUAGCGGUGUCGCGUGUGCGCGAA